This 1251-nucleotide ribosomal RNA is filed under the name Triticum aestivum (bread wheat). RNAcentral's name for it is "partial small subunit ribosomal RNA". The record is from RNAcentral. Lineage: Eukaryota; Viridiplantae; Streptophyta; Magnoliopsida; Poales; Poaceae.
AUGCAGAUCGGAAGCACCUCUACGUGCAUCUCCGGUCCCUGCCCCAAGGGAUUGCUUUCCCACGGGUCACUAGUCGUCCUGCCGCUCAGCCUGCUCAUCGCCAUGGUGGUCCGCUACAGAUGCAUCAAGCGGCGUAUCGCCAUUGAAUCCGCCGCGGACCAGCACUACACGGUGGUGUCGGACCAAGUGAUGAUGAACGCCACGGUCGAGAGGUUCGUGCUGGAGAUGGCCGACGAGAAGCCCAUUCGCUUCACGCCGGAGCAGCUCGCCGGAUACACGCGCAACUACUCCGCGCGCCUCGGCGCCGGCGGCUUCGGCACCGUCUACCGGGGAGAGCUCCCCAACGGCCUCGCCGUGGCCGUCAAGCUGCUCCACCCUGGCCUGGACACCAAGACGUCCGAGGAGCAGUUCAUGGCGGAGAUGGGCACCAUCGGCAGGACGCACCACAUCAACCUUGUCAGGCUCUACGGCUUCUGCUUCGAUGCCGACUCCACACGCGCGCUCGUCUACGAGUUCAUGGACCACGGCUCCCUCGACGACUACCUCUCCUCCGCCCGCAGGGACGGCGGCGUGAGCAUGCCCACCGUGGCCGCCGUCGCCACCGGCGUCGCCAGGGGCCUCAGGUACCUCCACGAGGAGUGCCAGCACAAGAUCGUGCACCAAGACAUCAAGCCCGGCAACGUCCUCCUUGGCGGCGCCGCCCUCACGCCCAAGCUGGCCAACUUCGGCCUCGCGCGCCUCGUCAACCGUGCUGACACACACGUCUCCCUGUCCCACGGGGGCGGUACCCCCGGCUACGCCGCGCCGGAGGUGUGGUUGGAACUACGCAUCACGGAGAAGUGCGACGUCUACAGCUUCGGCAUGCUCCUGCUCAAGAUCCUCGAGCAUGCUAGCAACCAUGACGCAGAUGCCGCGCCGGAGAGCAGCCGACAGUGGUUCCCAAUGGCCGCGUGGACCAGGUACGAGGCCGGUGAGCUGAUGGAGCUCGUCGUGUCAACGAUCCACCAAGAUCCGCGUUGCAGGGAGCUGGCGGAGAUGAUGAUCAAGGUGGCCUUCUGGUGUGCGCAGCAGCGGCCAUCGGAGAGGCCGUCCAUGAGCGCGGUGGUGAAGAUGCUGGAGGGAGAGACGGAGAUUGCCCCGCCGCCCAACCCGUUCCAGUACCUCAUGGGGAUGGAGCCGCCGGCGGCUAACCUGCGGACGACAAUGGCGAGCAGCUCUGUAACCACGAGCAACCACAUCAUCUCCUUUUAA